Molecule: ribosomal RNA, 497 nt
Filed under: uncultured bacterium
Lineage: Bacteria
Description: partial 16S ribosomal RNA
Rfam family: Bacterial small subunit ribosomal RNA
Source: RNAcentral
GAUGAACGCUGGCGGCGUGCCUAAUACAUGCAAGUCGAGCGAACAGACGAGGAGCUUGCUCCUCUGACGUUGGCGGCGGACGGGUGAGUAACACGUGGAUAACCUACCUAUAAGACUGGGAUAACUUCGGGAAACCGGAGCUAAUACCGGAUAAUAUAUUGAACCGCAUGGUUCAAUAGUGAAAGACGGUUUUGCUGUCACUUAUAGAUGGAUCCGCGCCGCAUUAGCUAGUUGGUAAGGUAACGGCUUACCAAGGCAACGAUGCGUAGCCGACCUGAGAGGGUGAUCGGCCACACUGGAACUGAGACACGGUCCAGACUCCUACGGGAGGCAGCAGUAGGGAAUCUUCCGCAAUGGGCGAAAGCCUGACGGAGCAACGCCGCGUGAGUGAUGAAGGUCUUCGGAUCGUAAAACUCUGUUAUUAGGGAAGAACAAAUGUGUAAGUAACUAUGCACGUCUUGACGGUACCUAAUCAGAAGGCCACGGCUAACUACGUG